RNA transcript from Lycium barbarum (goji berry), 1634 nucleotides. It is a transcript of the gene named proteasome subunit beta type-4-like, with no coding region annotated. The transcript is spliced from 3 exons. The record is from RefSeq and is a predicted model, not a curated record. NCBI's taxonomy places the organism in Eukaryota, Viridiplantae, Streptophyta, Magnoliopsida, Solanales, Solanaceae.
CUAAAGUUCCUAAACAAAAACCGACAAUCAAACAAGGCCCUGGUACAUCUAACGAGAUAGCCGCAGCAUUUUGACCUUUAAAUUUAAAAUCCUACGAUUUUCUUUAAAAUGUUGAAAUCACAUAACUAUAUAUGACAUGGAUGCUUCAGGUCUGAUAGUAUUUGCCAUCUUUUGUUUGUGAGAGAAAAGCUAGGAUUCUUUCAUCUCUUUCCUCCCAAAAAAAUAGGGGGAAAAGAUGACUGCAAGAAAGAUGCAAUAAGGCUAGAUAGUAGAUAGAUCAGCUUGUUGGAGCCCUAAUCCUCGUGGAGAAACUAAACUGUUUUUUUUUUUUUCCUGAUACUACACAAUUUGUUAUGUUGCGUCUGAUUUUAAUGUAUACAACGUCACCGACUUUUCCAAAGAGUUGUUAUAUUUUGACUCCAGAGAAAUGAACUAUUUCUUUGGCAGUAGGCAUUUAUGCGAAUGUGUUGCACCUGAAUUGAAUGCAUAUAAUGUUAUACUGAAUUUUCCAAAAAAAUGUUAUAUUUUGUGCUGUGAUUGUCUUUUUCUUUUAUCAGGCGCAGUCUCCAGUAUUUUUCUACUCCGCCUGCAGCUGGCAGUAGGAGUCGUUACUUACGAAUUUCUAAGAAAAGAGAAAUUCAAGUUUAGGUUGUAUUCGAAUUAAAACUUAAGGUCUAUGUUGUAGAGAGCGUGUCUCAUAUAUUCGAGUAUAGUCAGUUCUGAACUCCUUCAGAACAGCAUCCUUUUUUACAUUGUUAGCAGCUGUACUUAAGACAGUAACGGGAAUUAAGUAGAAAAUAGGAGAAUGGCCUUGAAAGAGUUUGUGUUGAUCGGUUUUCUAGCCUUGCCACUUCAUUUAGUUCAGCUCAUACAUGCUUAAAACUGUAUAAUAUUUCUUGUUUAUGUUGGUCAUUUUUGUUUUUGUCCUUUUCAGGUUCCUAUGGUUCAACAAUACGUUACAAAUGUGUGAAGGGAUUGAACUCAGUGGGAAAACACUCCCUUCUUGGUGCAAGUGGUGAAAUUAGUGAUUUUCAGGAGAUACUGAAGUACCUUGACGAGCUUAUGUUAGUAUGAUUGGUGUAUAUUAUGAGGACAAUCACGUGGCUACCGGAUUUGGAAAUCACCUUGCAAAGCCCAUUAUCCAUGAUGAAUGGCGUGAAGACUUGAGCUAUGAAGAUUGCAAAAAUCACGGAAGAGGGAGUGACAAUUUCUCAGCCAUACUCAUUAAAGACUUUCUGGAAUUUCUCUGCUUUCCAUAAUCCAACUACCGGUGCGGUGGGGUCAUGGUAACUAGCCCCUGUAUGUCAAGGUUUGAAAAAAGGAAAUAUGUGACGUUUUCCUGGUUCUAAAGUGCUGCAUAGUUAUGGUGGCCUUGGGGAUAUGGACUGAAUCUAUAUUAUGGAAAUUGUCGUUAUGUUGGUCUUUUUUCAUAUGUAACUUAACAGGUACGGCACAUGAUGCAGCACAUCCCUCAACUGUGCCCAUCUUAUUUUCCCAAACGUUCACUUUCCAUCUACUUUGUUAAGUUUGCAAAUUUAUUUGGCAUGCUAUGGUUCAUCAUUGGUUAAACAAGCACUUGUAUUCGCGUAUAUUAUGUAUAGCUAGAUACGUACAAGCUAAAGCAUCCUUCUUUA